UACGGGGGGGGCAAGCGUUGUUCGGAAUUACUGGGCGUAAAGGGUUUGUAGGUGGCUGAUUAAGUCAGACGUGAAAUCCCUCAGCUUAACUGGGGAACUGCGUCUGAUACUGGUUAGCUUGAGUGCAGGAGAGGAACGCGGAAUUCCAGGUGUAGCGGUGAAAUGCGUAGAUAUCUGGAGGAAUACCGGUGGCGAAGGCGGCAUCCUGGACCGACAUUGACGCUGAGGAGCGAAAGCUAGGGGAGCAAACGGG
This 253-nucleotide ribosomal RNA is filed under the name uncultured bacterium. RNAcentral's name for it is "partial 16S ribosomal RNA". It matches the Rfam family "Bacterial small subunit ribosomal RNA", at positions 524 to 776 of the family's 1533-position model. The record is from RNAcentral.